RNAcentral lists this long non-coding RNA (888 nucleotides) under Salmo trutta (river trout). Its description in RNAcentral is "lncRNA (ENSSTUG00000011239.1)". Lineage: Eukaryota; Metazoa; Chordata; Actinopteri; Salmoniformes; Salmonidae. The record is from RNAcentral.
UGUCCUCAUGAAAUUGGAGUUGGGUGAGAAAGAAUCCUAAAGAUGGUCCAAUGGGCAUGGUGUGAAGCCACUCUCUUUGUGUCAGUCAGGGUUUAUUUUAUGAGUAAUGAAAUUGCUACUCCCGAGUGGUGCAGCGUUCUAAGGCACUGCAUCUCAGUACUAGAGGCGUCACUACAGACACCCUGGUUCAAAUCCAGGCUGUAUCACAACCGGCCGUGAUUGGGAGUCCCAUAGGGCGGCGCACAAUUGGCCCAGUGCCGUCUGGGUUUGGCCGGUGUAGGCCGUCAUUGUAAAUAAGAAUUUGUUCGUAACUGACUUGCCUAGUUAAAUAAAGGUUAAAUAAAAAUACAUACAUGUAUUUAGUGGUUGUUCUGUAUGGUGACAUGAGUGGAGUGGACUGACUUCUCCCACUUGUCACAGAUAUCCGGAGUAGAUGUGGUGGAUCGUUCCAUAAUGACCAUCACCGAGGCCAACCCUCAGAGCAAGACUGGCAGCCGGCCGGGGGCUGAGCCUGAGACCCCUGCUGUAGCGCUUCAGAACAGUGGAGGAUGGCUCAGCUGGAUCUUCAGGAGAGGAAAGGAGAUUCAUCUUUCUGAUGAGAAAGACAACUCUAACAAGCCUGUACUGCCUCCUCCCUUGAUGGGAAUGUAUCUGGGGAACUUCCCAAAGGGGUGAAUCCUUACUCAGGAAAGCAGUCUAACAGCAGGUCUAUGGGAAAAAUAUCCCAGGAUGCUCUACUCUGAUGGGACCACCUCAACACCACCAAGCCAGCUCCCUUGACAGUUCCCUGCCCAACACUCCACCCUCAUGGCACAGAUGACAGAAACUUGGCCCUGGAACUCUAACCUACUGAGGUAUGAAUCCUUUAAUUGAUUUCAUAAAAUGAGA